This 290-nucleotide ribosomal RNA is filed under the name uncultured bacterium. RNAcentral's name for it is "partial 16S ribosomal RNA". It matches the Rfam family "Bacterial small subunit ribosomal RNA", at positions 333 to 619 of the family's 1533-position model. The record is from RNAcentral.
UCGCACCUACGGGGGGCAGCAGUGAGGAAUAUUGGUCAAUGGGCGGGAGCCUGGAGCAGCCAAGUCGCGUGAGGGAAGACGGUCCUAUGGAUUGUAAACCUCUUUAGGCGGGGAGCAAUGCCGGGCACGCGUGUCCGGAGGGAGAGUACCCGCAGAAUAAGCAUCGGCUAACUCCGUGCCAGCAGCCGCGGUAAUACGGAGGAUGCGAGCGUUAUCCGGAUUUAUUGGGUUUAAAGGGUGCGUAGGCGGAUUUUUAAGUCAGCGGUAAAAUGUCCGGGCGCAACCCGGGC